AUGACAAGAGGUUGUCAACUUAGCCAAGAAACUUGCCUAUGAACCACGAAAGGGAUUAUAAUAAUCAGAUGCAUGUAGAGCAGCCUUCAGGCCAUAGGCAAGUCAUCCUUGGCUACUGAUGAUGCACAAUCUGGCCG
Nelumbo nucifera (sacred lotus) is the source of this 137-nucleotide non-coding RNA. NCBI's taxonomy places the organism in Eukaryota, Viridiplantae, Streptophyta, Magnoliopsida, Proteales, Nelumbonaceae. The record is from Rfam.